UGAGUAACACGUGGGUAAUCUACCUUUUAGUGAGGAAUAACCGAGGGAAACUUUGGCUAAUACCGCAUAAGUCCGAGAGGAGAAAGUCGCAAGACGCUGAAAGAGGAGCCCGCGGCCGAUUAGCUAGUUGGUGGGGUAAGAGCCCACCAAGGCAGAGAUCGGUAGCCGGCCUGAGAGGGCACACGGCCACACUGGCACUGAAACACGGGCCAGACUCCUACGGGAGGCAGCAGUGGGGAAUCUUGCACAAUGGGGGAAACCCUGAUGCAGCGACGCCGCGUGAGCGAUGAAGCCCUUCGGGGUGUAAAGCUCUUUCGUCAGGGAAGAUAGUGACGGUACCUGGAGAAGCAGCUGCGGCUAACUACGUGCCAGCAGCCGCGGUAAUACGUAGGCAGCAAGCGUUGUUCGGAGUUACUGGGCGUAAAGGGUGUGUAGGCGGUUCUUUAAGUUUGGUGUGAAAUCUCCCGGCUCAACUGGGAGGGUGCGCCGAAUACUGAGGGACUAGAGUACGGGAGAGGAAAGUGGAAUUCCUGGUGUAGCGGUGAAAUGCGUAGAUAUCAGGAGGAACACCGGUGGUGUAGACGGCUUUCUGGACCGACACUGACGCUGAAACACGAAAGCGUGGGUAGCAAACAGGAUUAGAUACCCUGGUAG
Molecule: ribosomal RNA, 654 nt
Filed under: uncultured Acidobacteriota bacterium
Lineage: Bacteria; Pseudomonadati; Acidobacteriota
Description: bacterial SSU rRNA
Rfam family: Bacterial small subunit ribosomal RNA
Source: RNAcentral